Molecule: ribosomal RNA, 597 nt
Filed under: Pantherophis bairdi
Lineage: Eukaryota; Metazoa; Chordata; Lepidosauria; Squamata; Colubridae
Description: partial 12S ribosomal RNA
Source: RNAcentral
AUAAUAUUAACGGCGUAAAGCACGACUACAAAACAUGUCUAAAUAUUAAGAACGAAGUCAAACCGGGCUGUAAAAAGCCAUAAGCCACGCUAACCACACCUUAAUUAAAAACAACCUCCACUCGUGAAAGCUAGGAUACAAACUAAGAUUAGAUACCUUACUAUGCCUAACCAUAACAUAACAAUUAAAUUACCCAUUGUUCGCCAAAUAACUACGAGUAAAAACUUAAAAUUUAAAAGACUUGACGGUAUCUCAAAACAACCUAGAGGAGCCUGUCUAAUAACCGAUACUCCACGAUUAACCCAACCCACCCUGGCCUAACAGUCUAUAUACCGCCGUCGCCAGCCUACCUUGUGAAAGAAACAAAGUGAGCCAAAUAGCCAACACACUAAUACGACAGGUCGAGGUGUAACUUAUGGGUGGGUUAAAGAUGGGCUACAUUUUCUUAGUACAGAAAAUACGGAUAAAUCUAUGAAAUAGAAACUGAAGGCGGAUUUAGCAGUACAGUGGGAACAACAUACCCAAUAGAAAUCAAUGCAAUGAGAUGCGUACACACCGCCCGUCAUCCCUGUCAACAUAACUAAAAAUAUACAUAAA